AUCCAUAACGCUUGCAAGGGAUUUCAUCUGAUUAAUGUGGAACAAGGAAGGAAUUGCACGAUUGUAUUUUUGGCAGUUCGGAAGAGACAGGAAGUGGAAGUUCAAAGGUGAGCAAUGUUGCAGAGAUGAAAGAAAGAAGACUUGAUCAAAGCCCAGAUGGAAUAUUUAAAUAAUAGUUGUGGGUUGACCAAAACCUCAAGAUUCCACACUGGCUCCAUGAGUUUGAGAGAGCAACCAGAGAGGUCGAUACGAACAGCGCUU
Callorhinchus milii (elephant shark) is the source of this 261-nucleotide long non-coding RNA. RefSeq lists it as uncharacterized. NCBI's taxonomy places the organism in Eukaryota, Metazoa, Chordata, Chondrichthyes, Chimaeriformes, Callorhinchidae. The record is from RefSeq and is a predicted model, not a curated record. The transcript is spliced from 3 exons.